This 489-nucleotide unclassified non-coding RNA is filed under the name Hevea brasiliensis (rubber tree). The record is from RNAcentral. Lineage: Eukaryota; Viridiplantae; Streptophyta; Magnoliopsida; Malpighiales; Euphorbiaceae.
AUCUGCUCCCAUCAAUCUUCUGAUCGUUUAAACCAGGUGCUUCGAUGGGCUUUGGGUUCCAUAGAAAUCUUGCUGAGCAGGCAUUGUCCUAUCUGGUAUGGCUACAAUGGAAGGCUGAAGCUUUUGGAGAGAAUAGCAUACAUCAAUACUAUCGUCUACCCUAUCACCUCAAUUCCACUUAUUGCUUACUGUAUGCUUCCGGCGUUCUGUCUGUUGACUGGAAAGUUCAUUAUUCCUGAGAUAAGCAAUUUUGCCAGUAUGUGGUUCAUUCUCCUUUUCGUCUCCAUCUUUGCAACGGGCAUUCUUGAACUCAGAUGGAGUGGUGUUAGUAUUGAAGACUGGUGGAGGAACGAACAAUUUUGGGUCAUUGGUGGUACUUCAGCUCAUCUGUUCGCCGUCUUCCAGGGUCUCUUAAAGGUUCUUGCUGGAAUCGAUACCAACUUCACUGUGACGUCGAAGGCCAGCGAUGACGAUGGGGAUUUUGCAGAG